RNAcentral lists this ribosomal RNA (915 nucleotides) under uncultured archaeon. RNAcentral's name for it is "bacterial SSU rRNA". It matches the Rfam family "Archaeal small subunit ribosomal RNA", at positions 1 to 921 of the family's 1478-position model. The record is from RNAcentral.
UUUCCGGUUGAUCCCGCCGGGACCUGACUGCUAUCGGACUGAUACUAGGCCAUGCGAGUCAUUGUAGCAAUACAAGGCAGACGGCUCAGUAACGCGUAGUCAACAUAACCUAUGGACGGGAAUAACCUCGGGAAACUGAGAAUAAUGCCCGAUAGAACACUAUAUCUGGAAUGGUUUGUGUUCCAAAUGAUUUAUCGCCGUAGGAUGGGACUGCGGCCUAUCAGUUUGUUGGUGAGGUAAUGGCCCACCAAGACUAUUACAGGUACGGGCUCUGAGAGGAGUAGCCCGGAGAUGGGUACUGAGACACGGGCCCAGGCCCUAUGGGGCGCAGCAGGCGAGAAAACUCUGCAAUGUGCGAAAGCACGACAAGGUUAAUCCGAGUGGUUUCUGCUAAAGGAACCUUUUGUCGGUCCUAGAAACACCGAUGAAUAAGGGGUGGGCAAGUUCUGGUGUCAGCCGCCGCGGUAAAACCAGCACCUCAAGUGGUCAGGAUGAUUAUUGGGCCUAAAGCAUCCGUAGCCUGCUUUGUUAGUUUUCGGUUAAAUCUAUACGCUCAACGUAUAGGCUGCCGGGAAUACUGCAAAGCUAGGGAGUGGGAGAGGUAGACGGUACUCGGUAGGAAGGGGUAAAAUCCUUUGAUCUAUUGAUGACCACCUGUGGCGAAGGCGGUCUACCAGAACACGUCCGACGGUGAGGGAUGAAAGCUGGGGGAGCAAACCGGAUUAGAUACCCGGGUAGUCCCAGCCGUAAACCAUGCAAACUCAGUGAUGCAUUGGCUUGUGGCCAAUGCAGUGCUGCAGGGAAGCCGUUAAGUUUGCCGCCUGGGAAGUACGUACGCAAGUAUGAAACUUAAAGGAAUUGGCGGGGGAGCACCACAAGGGGUGAAGUCUGCGGUUCAAUUGGAUUCAACGCCGG